RNAcentral lists this long non-coding RNA (324 nucleotides) under Anas platyrhynchos platyrhynchos (common mallard). Its description in RNAcentral is "lncRNA (ENSAPLG00000029128.1)". Lineage: Eukaryota; Metazoa; Chordata; Aves; Anseriformes; Anatidae. The record is from RNAcentral.
AUGCACGCUGCUUCACCCCCCUCCUGCUUUACCCCCGCGGGCCGCCAUUCGCUGAGCGCCCAGCCCGCCUCCCCGGCCUCUCACUGCCGGCCCUGCGCAUGUGUUGUAGGAGGGGGAGCGUUACCUAUACAAAUAACACAUUUUAAGAAGUCAAGCCUCAAGGAACUGUUAGGUGGAAAUAUAUACAGUUAUGUCGGUUGCACAGGAAGAAAUGGUCAGAGUAACUUUUCUAUGUCUUGCUAGUAACAAUGCCAAAGCAUUUAAGACUUUCCUCAUCUUGUACUGUGCAAUAAAAUCUUCAGCUUCUCUUAAUGUUGCUUUGAU